Molecule: unclassified non-coding RNA, 715 nt
Filed under: Hevea brasiliensis (rubber tree)
Lineage: Eukaryota; Viridiplantae; Streptophyta; Magnoliopsida; Malpighiales; Euphorbiaceae
Source: RNAcentral
AGUUUUCUUUCUGUGGUGGGGCAAAUACUUUAUUAGCAAUAUGCAUUGUUGUAUCUGUCAAGCACUACCAAUCAGAACAUCAAUAUUUCUUUUAAAAUGGCAACUCAACAUCACCCAAUUUUUUUAUUACAGAACUAGCUCAUGGCAUGUUAGCAAAAACAUUAUCUUAUAUUUCAACGCAAUAGAACUUGAAAGUCAAAAAUAGGAACUUUAAAUAUAAAUAUGUAGACAUCACCCAAAAAAAUCCAAUUAACUAGUAUAAUAUUUUUGAAGGAAAAAAAAUUGUUUUGUAUAAGAAACCCUCCAAUCUAUUUGACCAAUUAACCCACAGGUGAACAUACCCACCCCAAUAACAUACUCUCUAACCUCAUUAAUCUGGUAUUUACCUCAUAAUAUAUAAGACCAGAAUUUAAUCCCUUGCAUCUCUUUCAAAAUUCUAGUAUUUAAAAAAAUUAGGUAGCAGGGUGGUGGAAACUAAAGAUAAUGAGGACAAAGGGAAUGAAAUAAAAUGUAAAGAACAACACAUUAUUUGGAAAUUUAAAAACAAUAUAAAGGGAAAUGGUUAAUGAAUGCAAAAGCAUUUAAAAUAAUCCUUAAUCCCUUACUUAAGAUUAACAAAAGCAGAUAAGAGAUUAAUAGACUUAAAUAUCAAAACUCCAUUCAUACUUCCUUUUCCUCUCAAAUUAAAUCUCAGACAAAAUUAAGAAGUAAAAAA